Molecule: unclassified non-coding RNA, 523 nt
Filed under: Scytosiphon lomentaria
Lineage: Eukaryota; Phaeophyceae; Ectocarpales; Scytosiphonaceae
Description: ITS1
Source: RNAcentral
CCGAACGUCCGGGACCAGGACGCAAAACAUGCCAUGCGGAUUAGUUCGCGCCCGCAGGUACUUUCGUACUUGCUUGCUCUCUCUUCUCUCUCUCUCUCUCUUUCGUCGUUUCAGGGAUGCUAGGCGGUUGACGCUCGUCUCCGCCGGGCCCCUGGAGGAUCACUCCUUUCUCGUGCCGUCAGUGGACAGGUUUUCGGAACGCAACGGCGCGGGCUCUUGGAGUGCGGGUGCUAUGGGCAUCGGGGCGGUAAAACGCUCGGGUGGACGUGGCGCGCGCACUGUCGGGGCUCGGACCGGGGCGGAUCGCGGAGGCAAGCCAUCUGGCGGGGGGGGGUGGUCUCAGACACAGCAGCAGAACCCCGUGAAACAACAAAUCGUUAUGCGAUGUCGGGCGAGUUGCGUCUCGCCGAGCUCUUCGUGAGCUCGAAACAAAGCGCCACCCACAAACCACACUAAACUCUGAAUCUGAACUCAAAAGGAGGCGCAGCGCCCCGCGCGCGGCGCCUUCUCAACCUUUAACGUU